This 497-nucleotide ribosomal RNA is filed under the name uncultured bacterium. RNAcentral describes it as "partial 16S ribosomal RNA". It matches the Rfam family "Bacterial small subunit ribosomal RNA", at positions 28 to 507 of the family's 1533-position model. The record is from RNAcentral.
GAUGAACGCUGGCGGCGUGCCUAAUACAUGCAAGUCGAGCGAACGGACGCGAAACUUGCUUUUCUGAUGUUAGCGGCGGACAGGUGAGUAACACGUGGAUAACCUACCUAUAAGACUGGGAUAACUUCGGGAAACCGGAGCUAAUACCGGAUAAUAUUUUGAACCGCAUGGUUCAAAAGUGAAAGACGGUCUUGCUGUCACUUAUAGAUGGAUCCGCGCUGCAUUAGCUAGUUGGUAAGUUAACGGCUUACCAAGGCAACGAUGCAUAGCCGACCUGAGAGGGUGAUCGGCCACACUGGAACUGAGACACGGUCCAGACUCCUACGGGAGGCAGCAGUAGGGAAUCUUCCGCAAUGGGCGAAAGCCUGACGGAGCAACGCCGCGUGAGUGAUGAAGGUCUUCGGAUCGUAAAACUCUGUUAUUAGGGAAGAACAUAUGUGUAAGUAACUGUGCACAUCUUGACGGUACCUAAUCAGAAAGCCACGGCUAGGUACGUG